Molecule: ribosomal RNA, 338 nt
Filed under: uncultured bacterium
Lineage: Bacteria
Description: bacterial SSU rRNA
Rfam family: Bacterial small subunit ribosomal RNA
Source: RNAcentral
GAAAUGACUGCUAAUACCGCAUGAAUCCAUUAAGAUGGGAAUGUUGAUGGAGAAAACUCUGGUGCUUCGAGAGGGGCCUGCGGUCGAUUAGCUAGUUGGCGGGGUAACGGCCCACCAAGGCGACGAUCGAUAGCUGGUCUGAGAGGACGAUCAGCCACACGGGAACUGAGACACGGUCCCGACUCCUACGGGGGGCAGCAGUGAGGAAUAUUGGGCAAUGGGCGGAAGCCUGACCCAGCAACGCCGCGUGGAGGAAUGAAGGCCUUCGGGUUGUAAACUCCUUUUGCAGGGGAAGAGGAAGGACGGUACCCUGCGAAUAAGUCACGGCUAACUACGUG